This 812-nucleotide ribosomal RNA is filed under the name uncultured bacterium. RNAcentral's name for it is "bacterial SSU rRNA". It matches the Rfam family "Bacterial small subunit ribosomal RNA", at positions 76 to 889 of the family's 1533-position model. The record is from RNAcentral.
UGCUUCCGAUAGGCGUCGACCGGCGCACGGGUGAGUAACGCGUAUCCAACCUGCCCAUCACUUGGGAAUAACCUUGCGAAAGUAAGACUAAUGCCCAAUGACAUUUAUAGAAGGCAUCUGAAAUGAAUUAAAGAUUUAUCGGUGAUGGAUGGGGAUGCGUCUGAUUAGCUUGUUGGCGGGGUAACGGCCCACCAAGGCGACGAUCAGUAGGGGUUCUGAGAGGAAGGUCCCCCACAUUGGAACUGAGACACGGUCCAAACUCCUACGGGAGGCAGCAGUGAGGAAUAUUGGUCAAUGGGCGAGAGCCUGAACCAGCCAAGUAGCGUGCAGGAUGACGGCCCUAUGGGUUGUAAACUGCCUUUAUAGGGGAAUAAAGUGAGCCACGUGUGGUUUUUUGCAUGUACCCUAUGAAUAAGGACCGGCUAAUUCCGUGCCAGCAGCCGCGGUAAUACGGAAGGUCCGGGCGUUAUCCGGAUUUAUUGGGUUUAAAGGGAGCGUAGGCCGGAGAUUAAGCGUGUUGUGAAAUGUAGAUGCUCAACAUCUGAACUGCAGCGCGAACUGGUUUCCUUGAGUACGCAUAAAGUGGGCGGAAUUCGUGGUGUAGCGGUGAAAUGCUUAGAUAUCACGAAGAACUCCGAUUGCGAAGGCAGCUCACUGGGGCGCAACUGACGCUGAAGCUCGAAAGCGCGGGUAUCGAACAGGAUUAGAUACCCUGGUAGUCCGCGCGGUAAACGAUGGAUGCCCGCUGUUGGGCCAACUGGUUCAGCGGCCAAGCGAAAGCAUUAAGCAUCCCACCUGGGGAGUACGCCGGC